GGUGCGGCUGGAGCCUCUCUUGGUCUAGGAGAUCAGUGGGUCUUGGCAGGGCCACGCUCACCUUUGGCUUGCGGUACUGGGAGAGUUGCGGUCCUGUGCUAUUUUGAUGCAGCGAGAUGUUGUCGUAGGGACCUCUAAGUAGAUGAGAUGGCCUUCCAAGACAAAGCUGGAAGUCUUAGGUGCUACCUCUCUGUACGGUUGUUUUGAUCAAAUGAGAUGGCAUAAGAAAGGCGCUUAGCUCAGUUUUUGGCAGGGUGUUUACACCUGCAAGUGCCUGAUAUUUACAAUAAGAGAAACCCAACUAACCAUCUGAAGAUCACCUUGUCUCAUUGCACCCAUGUGAUUGAGAGGCUGAGUCCCCAUCAAGAGCAAGAAUGGUAACAGGUAUACAGAUAUGGGGGCCAGCGAUCAGUGUGUCCUAGUGCACAAAGUGCUGUGCUGCCCUGUAGGGACAAGAUGUACCAACACAGACCACUCCAGGAAGAGGGCACGCUUCACCCAUUAGGCAUGAUUUUUUGUUAACGAAAUAACAUACAAAACACAAAGCUGAUCAGAGGCAGAGUUUGGAUUAUUCCUUUAAGAUUUAGUUUUAAAUGUGUGUUACUACAGUAACGCAGGGCCCAAAAGCUGGGGAGGUUUUGACCUAACCUGAAGUUCAAACCUAAUGUUCCCGGCCCAGAGAGAGACACGGUUGAAUGGAACUGUGGGCGCCCACUAACCGAGCAAAAAUAUAGCUGGAGAGAAUAAGGACAGACCUGAAAGGUGCUAGACACGGAAAUGUAAUGCAUUAAAACAAGAGAAAAGUUAAAUCCCUUUUUAAGUGGAAUUAAGAUUGGCACUGUUAAUGGCUUACUAUUUAGGAUUGAUGACUUCAGUGCAAUGAAUGUCACAGGUGCGGUGUCUAAUGUGGCCAGCAGAAACGACUGUUUCGAUCUUGAAUGAAGAAUAAGGCAUAGAUUUGCCGCCUUUAAAAUUAUUGGUACUCGUUGAAAUGCCAAUUUCUUGUUUUUAAUGGCUUCCUGGGCAUAUGUUGUUAUUUUGCCAGCUAAUAGUUAAAAGGUUCCGUGGUGAUGUAAUGUUUUUCUCAGUUGUAUAAAGAACACACACUGAAUUGCUUGGAUACCUACAAAAACUAGUGAGAAGUAACACCUCCCCGGGCCUGUGAUACGCCAGACACUAUUCUAUUCAUUUUUUAAAAAUGAGCGAGCAUGACAUUGCAGGUCAUUCACAGGUAUUAUUUUUCUAUAUCCAUUGUACUGGUUUCUAUUGAAACAUUCAUACAAGCUCUAUGGCUACCUGUACAGAAAUUUACUCAAGUUCAUUGGACUUUGUAACAUGCUUUGUUCCACUUUUACAGUUAUAUUUUUUCUCUGCCUUUAUUCGAUAGAAAUUAGUUUAAUAUUAGUUUGGUUGGCUUCUUACGUAUGUGGUCAUUGAAACACCAUUUUCACAUGGCUGUUACAGUUGCCAUGUCAAAGGGCGGAGCGUUAUAGCCCCAUACAUUUGCAUACUGGAGCAUUUUGUGCCCUGCUUUUUAUCCUAUCAGCCUGCGCUGAUUCUAAUACAAUUCUGUAGGGUUGUGGAAUGUUACUUUUUUCAGUGUUAAUUAGUUUCCCACAUCCAGAAUUUGUAAUUUACUGUUGAUAUUAGUACAAAAUGUACUGUAUUUGCAUGAACCAAAAAAAAAAUGUUUUUCCUCUUCAAACUACUUCAGAACUUUCAAAAAAGGUAAAUGGGAUAUACUAACCUAUUAAGGGACAAUGACUCUCAGAUUGAGACACAAAGGAAAACAUAAAUUUGCUGUAUUUACAAAGAGGUAUUUGAGUGAAAAAUUCCAAAAGCUCGAAAAAAGAUGAAGAUGCGCUAAAUAAACCUAUCUCUAAAAAAUGCCAAAAAAAUAAAAAAUGUUGAUUACAAUAAAAAAAUUGCAGUGCUACCAAGAAAGAAAAUGCCUUAAAGGUAACAAAAAGAAGGGAAGAAAUGAACUCGAAGGGGCGAGAGGACACUGAUUUAAGCACUUACCUUAAGAGAGUCUCUGUGGAUCACGGAUGAAUUUAAGCUUCCACUUAUGAAAGCUGCAGGGGGCCAGGAGAGAGGAAACAGCUAGACGGUGCCCCCAGGGAAGACGAUGCAGCCAGAGUGCCUUACAGCUCCAGGGAAAAGGGAACAAUAGCAACAAUCAAACAAAAACGAAUUCAAAGCAAACAUAACAGUAAAACAAACUCAGAAGAGGAGCACGUUGAAGGAAACGUGUCUGUUACAAACUCGAUGCUGGGUAGAGGGAAAAGAAGACUUGAGUAUUGGGUUGAAUAAAAUAUUUCCCAUGUCAUUUUGACAUUGGAAACUAAAUUCAAAGAUAACAAGU
Molecule: long non-coding RNA, 2365 nt
Organism: Artibeus jamaicensis (Jamaican fruit-eating bat)
Lineage: Eukaryota; Metazoa; Chordata; Mammalia; Chiroptera; Phyllostomidae
Exons: 3
Source: RefSeq, a predicted model, not a curated record